GGGGGAUUUGGAUUUUGGGGAAGAGCAUUCAAUUCGAAUAUCACUAUCACACGAUUUCAAAAGGCAUGCGUUACGCUAUUCAGAUUCUCACGUCACUCUUUAUUUUAAAAAAAAGAUUUCUCUCACUGACCAUUGUUGCAGUGAGCAGUGAGAAGUGAGAAGAAGGCACAUUUUGCAUGGUUUUGAUGAUCAAACAAACAAAGUUUUUAAAAAAAAUUUCUCGAUUGUGUCGUUUUUUUGGAUAUCCAUAUUUUGCAUGCUCCCCA
RNAcentral lists this long non-coding RNA (266 nucleotides) under Gossypium barbadense (sea-island cotton). RNAcentral's name for it is "long non-coding RNA (GBAR_LNC015901)". The record is from RNAcentral. Lineage: Eukaryota; Viridiplantae; Streptophyta; Magnoliopsida; Malvales; Malvaceae.